Non-coding RNA from Triticum aestivum (bread wheat), 136 nucleotides. The record is from Rfam. NCBI's taxonomy places the organism in Eukaryota, Viridiplantae, Streptophyta, Magnoliopsida, Poales, Poaceae.
AAGAUAUUACCUCCGUCCCAAAAAGCUUGUCUUAGAUUUAUCUAGAUACGGGUGUAUCUAACACUACGUGUCUAGAUAGAUACAUCCGUAUCUAGGCAAAUCCAAGACAAGCUUUUUGGGGCGGAGGGAGUACAUG